This 1257-nucleotide long non-coding RNA is filed under the name Ananas comosus (pineapple). Its description in RNAcentral is "long non-coding RNA (ACOM_LNC014384)". Lineage: Eukaryota; Viridiplantae; Streptophyta; Magnoliopsida; Poales; Bromeliaceae. The record is from RNAcentral.
CUUUUCCUUUCCCACUUUAACCUUCAUCAAACACAAUUCCAUUAUAAAAACACACAAGAGGAAACUAGAGAGCAUUAAGAACUUGUGAAGAGAUCUACAUAGAAACUAGCAAUGACUACUUUGGUGGGGACUUGGUUGGGAGAGUUCAAUAAAUUGGGAAAUAAUCAGUGUCAGAAUUCGGAGCACCGCGGCAAAGCAGAAGCACCGAAAAAAGAAAAAGAUCUUAUGGGAGCAAAUGAGGCGUUUUUUGGAAAGGAGAAGAGAAAAAGAGGUGGGAACAUCUCAGAAGCCACUUUAUGUUUGCUUAUGGAUCGCUUUGCCCCUAGCUAGUUGAGUACCUUACGCGUGUAUAGUUUUGUAUAAGUAUUGUAUGCUUUCGUAUGUAUAUAUGUAUAUAUAUAUGUAUAUUUUCCUUAUGUAUUCGGUAUGUUCUUACUUUGAAGAAGUAACUGUUUCUUAUUUCGUGUAUUAUUUCACUUCCCCACAAAUUAUUUCUUUNGAGUUCAAUAAAUUGGGAAAUAAUCAGUGUCAGAAUUCGGAGCACCGCGGCAAAGCAGAAGCACCGAAAAAAGAAAAAGAUCUUAUGGGAGCAAAUGAAGCGUUUUUUGGAAAGGAGAAGAGAAAAAGAGGUGACAAAAUUAAAAUUUGAUUUGCAAAGUUAUAAAAUAUAGUAAGAAAAUUUAAAAGAAAAUUUAUUUUAGCUAGUUGAGUACCUUACGCGUGUAUAGUUUUGUAUAAGUAUUGUAUGCUUUCGUAUGUAUAUAUGUAUAUAUUAUUUUAUAUUUUCCUUAUGUAUUCGGUAUGUUCUUACUUUGAAGAAGUAACUGUUUCUUAUUUCGUGUAUUAUUUCACUUCCCCACAAAUUAUUUCUUUUUUUUCAAAGAAAAAUAAUAAUUUAUCUAUUUCGUUCUUUUUUUUUACAUGUAAGUGAACUCAGUUGAAAAUAUAAAAUAAUUAAAUUUUGAAUUUAAAAUUUCGUGUAUCAAACAUCAAAUUCCGAACUAACUGAAUUAGAUACGAUUAAUCUCCUCUAGAAACUAUUACAUACUCUAUAAGUACACAUUCUUUAGUACAUUCAGCAUGUUUUAGUUUUGAUGCAGUAAUUACCUCCUCUGAUCUCUCUAUCACUCUUCAAUUUGUUUGUUUCGAUUAUACUUUCCACAAGAGAGAACCAUUCCUACCUUUAUUCCCUGAAUAUCCACUUUCUAUUUUGCCCCAGUACGAAAGUGCGUUUUCUGAAGUAAUUGAUUCAAUACU